Molecule: non-coding RNA, 47 nt
Organism: Picea glauca (white spruce)
Lineage: Eukaryota; Viridiplantae; Streptophyta; Pinopsida; Pinales; Pinaceae
Source: Rfam
GAAAUGGUGUCUUUAGACACCACCACUUAUUUUGAAUCCUCUAUUCU